AUUUCAUAUCGGGGACACUUCUUCAAAAGUAACUUAAAUUGAUCCCAAGCUUCAUAUAAGUUUUCGCCUUUAAAUUGCUUGAAGUUGGCGAUCUCAUGACGAAGUU
This 106-nucleotide small nucleolar RNA is filed under the name Gossypium hirsutum (cotton). RNAcentral describes it as "Plant small nucleolar RNA R71". It matches the Rfam family "Plant small nucleolar RNA R71". From Rfam's summary of the family: R71 is a member of the C/D box family of snoRNAs containing the C (UGAUGA) and D (CUGA) box motifs. Multiple nearly identical copies of this snoRNA have been identified in Arabidopsis, and it is thought to function as a 2'-O-ribose methylation guide for 18S ribosomal RNA. The record is from Rfam by way of RNAcentral. Lineage: Eukaryota; Viridiplantae; Streptophyta; Magnoliopsida; Malvales; Malvaceae.